RNAcentral lists this long non-coding RNA (867 nucleotides) under Homo sapiens (human). RNAcentral's name for it is "long non-coding RNA NONHSAT160941.1". The record is from RNAcentral. Lineage: Eukaryota; Metazoa; Chordata; Mammalia; Primates; Hominidae.
GAGGACACUGGACUCCUGGCAGCAGGUUCUGUCGACCCCACCUGGGGCACAGCUGACAUAAGCCUUCCUUAUAGUUGUGUGGGGCCACAGGACUGAGUUGCGGCCAGUGAAAUGUGGGUUGAGGGCCUGAGUCAACCAAAAAGCACAACAGAACUCAACACAACAAAACACUUUGUUGCUGCUUGAAGGCUGCAGAUAGCGUUCUAACCCUGCACCGUGGGAGGUGUUUCAUCAUCCGGUUUUUCAAUUCCCCUUGGAUUCACUCUUUUUAGAUGCCUAGACUGUGACAGUGUGAGGGGGAAAGGCUGCUGCCAAAAGUGGAGGACUUAAAGCUGGAGGCCGCCCCAAAGACGGGGAAAUGAAGAAAACGCCGUUUCUGGAGCUCCCUGAGGGAAACUGAUACAGUGAUGAGGAUGAAGGCAUAGAGAAACAACCUUCAAGAAGGACUGGACGAAAGAAAGAGCAACAGCAGUCCCCAAGUUUUGCAUCUCUGUCUUAUGACUCUGAUUCUUCAGCUCCAAGCUCCACAACCACUAACAACUACAGGUCUUGAUUCUGUCCCUGGCCACUCAGGUACCCUCUAAGAAAGAGGAUUGAGAGGAAGCAUGAGGAAUUUCACUGCCUUCCAGCAAUUAAAUUGCAUUCAAGAAUUCUACAGUAGCCUUGGUGGUCUGCAACGACAUUUCAGGGAUUAGAUGCUCUAUCUCCUGUCUGGCAGACACAUGAGCAGAACCCAGGAUGGAAGAAUGUAAUCACCAGCGUGACUCCAGUGAUGGAGAUGAACUAGAUGUGGAGACUGGGGAGCAGCAGAGUCAACUCAGUUAUCAUCUUGGCGGCCGGGCUGCCGUCCAGCUCACAGAAGCCACC